This 253-nucleotide ribosomal RNA is filed under the name uncultured bacterium. Its description in RNAcentral is "partial 16S ribosomal RNA". It matches the Rfam family "Bacterial small subunit ribosomal RNA", at positions 524 to 776 of the family's 1533-position model. The record is from RNAcentral.
UACGAAGGGGGCUAGCGUUGUUCGGAAUUACUGGGCGUAAAGCGCACGUAGGCGGAUUUGUUAGUCAGGGGUGAAAUCCCGGGGCUCAACCUCGGAACUGCCUUUGAUACUGCAAGUCUCGAGUCCGGAAGAGGUGAGUGGAAUUCCUAGUGUAGAGGUGAAAUUCGUAGAUAUUCGGAAGAACACCAGUGGCGAAGGCGACUUACUGGACACAUAUUGACGCUGAGGUGCGAAAGCGUGGGGAGCAAACAGG